This is a non-coding RNA of Phrynosoma platyrhinos (Desert horned lizard), 75 nucleotides long. The record is from the annotation of a GenBank genome assembly. NCBI's taxonomy places the organism in Eukaryota, Metazoa, Chordata, Lepidosauria, Squamata, Phrynosomatidae.
AGCCAGAGUGGUGUAGUGGUUUGAGUGUGAAACUAUGAAACUCUGGAAAACAGGGUUCAAAUCCCUGUUUGGCUA